Molecule: ribosomal RNA, 253 nt
Filed under: uncultured bacterium
Lineage: Bacteria
Description: partial 16S ribosomal RNA
Rfam family: Bacterial small subunit ribosomal RNA
Source: RNAcentral
GACGAAGGAUGCAAGCGUUAUCCGGAUUCAUUGGGUUUAAAGCGUGUGUAGGCGGGCCCGUAAGUGUCUUGUGAAAUCCCACGGCUCAACCGUGGAACUGCUGGGCAUACUGCGGGUCUUGGGCCAACUAGGGGCAGCCGGAACAAGCGGUGGAGCGGUGAAAUGCGUAGAUAUCGCUUGGAACGCCGAAGGUGAAAACAGGCUGCUGGGGUUGCGCCGACGCUGAGACACGAAAGCCAGGGGAGCAAACGGG